GGGUCUGUGGUCUAGGGGUAUGACACUCCCUUAGCAUCUGGAUGGUCUACGAUCACCUGGAUCCUGAGCUGGGAGAGGUCCCGGGUUCAAUUCCCGGCGGAUCCA
This is a non-coding RNA of Phyllosticta citribraziliensis, 105 nucleotides long. The record is from the annotation of a GenBank genome assembly. NCBI's taxonomy places the organism in Eukaryota, Fungi, Ascomycota, Dothideomycetes, Botryosphaeriales, Phyllostictaceae.